CCUACGGGGGGCAGCAGUGGGGAAUAUUGGACAAUGGGGGGAACCCUGAUCCAGCCAUGCCGCGUGUGUGAAGAAGGCCCUCGGGUUGUAAAGCACUUUCAGUGAGGAAGAACGCCUGGUGGUUAAUACCCAUCAGGAAAGACAUCACUCACAGAAGAAGCACCGGCUAACUCCGUGCCAGCAGCCGCGGUAAUACGGAGGGUGCGAGCGUUAAUCGGAAUUACUGGGCGUAAAGCGCGCGUAGGUGGCUUGAUAAGCCGGUUGUGAAAGCCCCGGGCUCAACCUGGGAACGGCAUCCGGAACUGUCAAGCUAGAGUGCAGGAGGGGAAGGUAGAAGUCCCGGUGUAGCGGUGCAAUGCGUAGAGAUCGGGAGGAAUAGCAGUGGCGAAGGCGGCCUUCUGGACUGACACUGACACUGAGGUGCGAAAGCGUGGGUAGCAAGCAGGAUUAGAUACCCUAGGAGUC
RNAcentral lists this ribosomal RNA (465 nucleotides) under Vreelandella stevensii. Its description in RNAcentral is "partial 16S ribosomal RNA". It matches the Rfam family "Bacterial small subunit ribosomal RNA", at positions 338 to 795 of the family's 1533-position model. The record is from RNAcentral. Lineage: Bacteria; Pseudomonadati; Pseudomonadota; Gammaproteobacteria; Oceanospirillales; Halomonadaceae.